This 480-nucleotide ribosomal RNA is filed under the name uncultured soil bacterium. RNAcentral's name for it is "bacterial SSU rRNA". It matches the Rfam family "Bacterial small subunit ribosomal RNA", at positions 35 to 561 of the family's 1533-position model. The record is from RNAcentral.
GCUGGCGGCAGGCUUAACACAUGCAAGUCGAGCGCCGUAGCAAUACGGAGCGGCAGACGGGAGAGUAACACGUGGGAACGUACCCUUCGGUUCGGAACAACCCAGGGAAACUUGGGCUAAUACCGGAUACGUCCGAAAGGAGAAAGAUUUAUCGCCGAGGGAUCGGCCCGCGUCUGAUUAGCUAGUUGGUGAGGUAACGGCUCACCAAGGCGACGAUCAGUAGCUGGUCUGAGAGGAUGAUCAGCCUCACUGGGACUGAGACACGGCCCAGACUCCUACGGGAGGCAGCAGUGGGGAAUAUUGGACAAUGGGCGCAAGCCUGAUCCAGCCAUGCCGCGUGGGUGAUGAAGGCCCUAGGGUUGUAAAGCCCUUUCGGCGGGGAAGAUAAUGACGGUACCCGCAGAAGAAGCCCCGCCUAACUUCGUGCCAGCAGCCGCGGUAAUACGAAGGGGGCUAGCGUUGCUCGGAAUCACUGGGCGU